AGUGAACGCUGGCGGUAGGCCUAACACAUGCAAGUCGAACGGCAGCACAGUAAGAGCUUGCUCUUACGGGUGGCGAGUGGCGGACGGGUGAGGAAUACAUCGGAAUCUACUUUUUCGUGGGGGAUAACGUAGGGAAACUUACGCUAAUACCGCAUACGACCUACGGGUGAAAGCAGGGGAUCUUCGGACCUUGCGCGAUUGAAUGAGCCGAUGUCGGAUUAGCUAGUUGGCGGGGUAAAGGCCCACCAAGGCGACGAUCCGUAGCUGGUCUGAGAGGAUGAUCAGCCACACUGGAACUGAGACACGGUCCAGACUCCUACGGGAGGCAGCAGUGGGGAAUAUUGGACAAUGGGCGCAAGCCUGAUCCAGCCAUACCGCGUGGGUGAAGAAGGCCUUCGGGUUGUAAAGCCCUUUUGUUGGGAAAGAAAAGCAGCAGGUUAAUACCCCGCUGUUCUGGCGGUACCCAAAGAAUAAGCACCGGCUAACUUCGG
This 491-nucleotide ribosomal RNA is filed under the name uncultured bacterium. Its description in RNAcentral is "partial 16S ribosomal RNA". It matches the Rfam family "Bacterial small subunit ribosomal RNA", at positions 29 to 506 of the family's 1533-position model. The record is from RNAcentral.